GCUCUGCUAGCUUAAACACCACAAAGCACUAGUUUUGUAAACUAAAGAUGGGAACACCCGCAGGUCA
RNAcentral lists this transfer RNA (67 nucleotides) under Chlamydosaurus kingii (frilled dragon). RNAcentral's name for it is "tRNA-Thr". The record is from RNAcentral. Lineage: Eukaryota; Metazoa; Chordata; Lepidosauria; Squamata; Agamidae.